RNAcentral lists this ribosomal RNA (371 nucleotides) under marine bacterium SIMO-2528. RNAcentral's name for it is "partial 16S ribosomal RNA". It matches the Rfam family "Bacterial small subunit ribosomal RNA", at positions 96 to 467 of the family's 1533-position model. The record is from RNAcentral.
CGGCGGUACGGGUGAGUAAUGCCUAGGAAAUUGCCCUGNAUGUGGGGGAUAACCAUUGNNAACGAUGGCUAAUACCGCAUGAUGCCUACGGGCCAAAGAGGGGGACCUUCGGGCCUCUCGCGUCAGGAUAUGCCUNGGUGGAAUUANCUAGUUGGUGAGGUAAGGGCUCACCAAGGCGACGAUCCCUANCUGGUCUGAGAGGAUGAUCAGCCACACUGGAACUGAGACACGGGUCCANACUANUACGGGAGGCAGCAGUGGGGAAUAUUGCACAAUGGGCGCAAGCCUGAUGCAGCCAUGCCGCGUGUAUGAAGAAGGCCUUCNGGUUGUAAAGUACUUUCAGCAGUGAGGAAGGUUCAUACGUUAAUAGC